AAAACAGAAAAUCCCGACAAUCAUAUCAAUAGGAAGCUCAUCGAUGACGUAGAAAAGAAGUAUAUAAAUUCGAAUGUGACGGUCAAAGGGAAAACAUUAUCUGAAUUACAGCAACAGAAAAAAACAAAUGCUCCAGCUACUACAUCUAUACCGAGUGCAACUAAAUCGGUGACGACUGUUCGACCCAAUUCCACAUCCACUUGCAAAACGAACAAGAAUUGCCUACCAGGUUCCUGUUGCCAAAUUCGAAAUGGAAAAGAAAGAGUUU
Molecule: long non-coding RNA, 268 nt
Organism: Centruroides sculpturatus (bark scorpion)
Lineage: Eukaryota; Metazoa; Arthropoda; Arachnida; Scorpiones; Buthidae
Exons: 3
Source: RefSeq, a predicted model, not a curated record